RNAcentral lists this non-coding RNA (25 nucleotides) under Mus musculus (house mouse). The record is from RNAcentral. Lineage: Eukaryota; Metazoa; Chordata; Mammalia; Rodentia; Muridae.
UGCAGUCAAGGAACAGUAGUGCCUG